UACGUAGGGUGCUAGCGUUGUCCGGAAUUAUUGGGCGUAAAGAGCUCGUAGGUGGCCUGUCGCGUCGGCUGUGAAAACUCGGGGCUCAACUCCGAGCUUGCAGUCGAUACGGGCAGGCUAGAGUUCGGCAGGGGAGACUGGAAUUCCUGGUGUAGCGGUGAAAUUCGUAGAUAUCGAGAGGAACACCGGUGGCGAAGGCGGCCAACUGGACGAAUACUGACGCUGAGACUCGAAAGCGUGGGGAGCGAGCAGG
This 253-nucleotide ribosomal RNA is filed under the name uncultured bacterium. Its description in RNAcentral is "partial 16S ribosomal RNA". It matches the Rfam family "Bacterial small subunit ribosomal RNA", at positions 524 to 776 of the family's 1533-position model. The record is from RNAcentral.